UAAAUACCAUUGGUCCUGGUUGCUCACAAUGCACCUCAACCCAGAAGCAACAACUUGCUGAGCAACACCACCACCAAGCCUGCAAGGGCAAAUGUAAGUUUGAUUUAUAAUCUUUACCUAUAUUUUAUCAUAUAUUACAAUUUAUGAGUAAUGAAUCAAAGUACAUAUGAAAAGAUGACUUGACAACAAACAAGCUUUUUAUUUAAUGACCAAUACUGAAACCAAGUGAAGAUGCAUCAUGACACGUAAUUAUGCCCAUAGCAUAAAUCAGCAAUGUCAAAGUAAUUAAAGGAGAAAAUACCAGUUGUGCACCACGGUUUUCCGGCUCAAUUUAUUUCCAAAACUAUUGAAGGUUUCUUCCCUGUUACAUUUAAUGAUUAGACAUGAUCUAAAACCAAGUAAUUAAUAUCUAGCUUUAUCCAUAAGGUACAUACCAGUUAACAAUUUCAUAUCCGUGGGACAAAGCUAUUUGCUGUGCCCGCAGGACAAAGUACUGAUAAGCUUCAGAUUCAUUCCUAUUAUGCUUUUUUAACCUGCAUAGUCAGGAUAGUUAAGAAUACUCCAAUAUCUGAAGGAUAAAAAUAUGAUACAUAAGGAAAAAAGUUCUCAUGCUCUUUUAAUAUCGAAAGAAUUUAAAUAUGAAAUGGAAUUUAAAAGAUGUGAUGUUAUGAAAUUAGUGAACUUAGAAAUGAGAUCUAAUUUAGCAAUAUUCUUAACGAAAAGAAGAAAUAAAAAAGUUAACUUUGACGAUCUACUUAGCCAAGUGACUCUUAUUGGAAGCUCAAGAGGCAUAAUAACCAUAAGAAGCCCUUUAAUGGUGGAAUAAGUGACAGUGGAGUUCAUUGUUUCAUCCCCAAAUGGAUAGACAAAAGUGUCUAAGCAUUAUAUCCAGGAUUAAGAAUUUCCCACUCUUUCCACAUAGUACUGAAUUGAGCCUAGGGCACAUGUCCUCUAAAACCGUUAACAAAACAUUCUUGUAUUCCGAAAAUAGUAACCAAAUCAAUAAACUAAAAAGGAACUGCAAGCCCAAUGACUAUCAGCACAAAGUACUUGGGACAGAAAUUAUUCCCUUUUCUAUACCCACUUUAACUCUCCAGGGUGAGGGAUAAUAAUGUGUUGAAUAACAGCAACAGAAAGCAGACUUCCUGCUAUCCAAAUUCCUCUAUAUAUUGGUUUCACUUUCUGAGUCAUGUUCUGUCACUUGAGGAUUCUUCUUGAUUAAUCUUCCUUUAUGAGGAAGGGGCCAAUGCACUCUAAGUUACGGAAAUGGACAGCUUUACUGAGAAUGCCUAUAAAUCAUGGUCCAAUAUAGUUGCAGUUUAAAUUACCAGACAAGGAAACAAUGAAUUUGUACUCCCUGCAUCUAUGUAAUUGUUAUAACACAUAAACAUUUGUUGACAGUAAUGAUAUGAAGCAACUUUGUCAUAAUACUAAAGCAUGGAUUACAACAAUAAAUUGUAUACCAGUUCAUUAUGUGAGGAGUUGAUGUCCAACAACCUGAAAUGGAUAAUGCAGUUGUACAAUUCAGUAAAUCAUCAAGUUUCAUAUGAAUUUAGAGAAUGGUGAUACACCGCAUUAUCUUUAACUAAAAAAUAUUUUAGUAGAAUGGAUGUUUCACAACUUUGAUUUAUGGGAACUGCCUAAUAUCUAUUCAACUCCACACUUCACUACUGUUUUUCUUGCCUGAUGCUACUCCUGCUUACAACUAUUUUGACCAUUUGAAAGGUUUAAUUACUUGACUGUUGCUUUUCCGCUUCCAAGUUAAUAUCAAUGAGAUUCAAAAACCCAAGAAUGUUAAGAAAAACACAAAAGCUUGCGAACUGUAAGAAAUUAAUGUGAUACUGAACCUUAAGAGAUAAUAAUUUCCACUUCCUACGAGAAGUCAAACUCAACUUAUAUAAGAAAAGCUGAUAAGUUUUUGUCCUGAAAAGGUAUGUUUGUGCAGCUAGCAUGCUACGAAAUCUACAUUUACUACUUGUUGCUAGCUGCAAAAUAAGUACUCAAUGCAAAUAUACAAUGAACUUUCAUCCACAAAAAUUUAGAAAGACAUUAUAAGGUUUGCAAUUAUAGAGAAUAUCACAUUAAACCUUAUAACAGAAAGAGAACAGAACAUUAGAAGUUAAGAACAAAAACAAUAGUGACGUCACAGACAAAUAAAGCUGACAGAUAAUAAUGAUAAGACUCAAACGUCGGUGUUAAACUUACUUGUGUCGACUUCAUCACCUCCCAAGUGAACAAAUUUAAAUUUAAAGAUCUUACUGAAAUCUGUAACAUGAAAAUCCAAUGACGUUACCUAUUAUUAUAAUUUUUUCAUUGAAUUAAGCACACUAAUUUACAAGAGAAAUUGUGUCAUCACUUCAUUUUUAUAUCAUCUUCAUCACAUGAUAACAUUACUUCCACCAUAAUUAUGACAGGAAGCAAGGCAUUACCUGAAAGGAUUCCAUCUAUCACUUUAAAUGUAAACUCAUUGCUGACAUCAAGUGGUUGCUGACAAUCCUUUGAUGGCCAUAAAGAAGGAUAGCCCUUUCC
Molecule: long non-coding RNA, 2529 nt
Filed under: Ricinus communis (castor bean)
Lineage: Eukaryota; Viridiplantae; Streptophyta; Magnoliopsida; Malpighiales; Euphorbiaceae
Description: long non-coding RNA (RCOM_LNC000483)
Source: RNAcentral